This 304-nucleotide long non-coding RNA is filed under the name Mytilus galloprovincialis (Mediterranean mussel). The record is from RNAcentral. Lineage: Eukaryota; Metazoa; Mollusca; Bivalvia; Mytilida; Mytilidae.
GUCGUAACUACAAUUCCCUUCCCUUUCCUGAAUGUGACCUACCGAAUUAGACUAUUUACCGGAUUUGUUAUCACAUAAGCAACACGACGGGUGCCGCAUGUGGAGCAGGAUCUGCUUACCCUUCCGGAGCACCUGAGAUCACCCCUAGUUUUUUGGUGGGGUUCGUGUUGUUUAUUCUUUAGUUUUCUAUGUUGUAUCGUGUGUGCUGUUGUUUGUUUGUCUUUUCAUUUUUAGCCAUGGCGUUGUCAGUUUGUUUUAGAUUUAUGAGUUUGACUGUCCCUUUGGUAUCUUUCGUCCCUCUUUU